CAAAAACAUGUCUUUUUGAGUUAUUUUUAAAGUNUAACCUGCCCAAUGAAAAAUUUUUAAUGGCCGCAGUAAUUUGACUGUGCAAAGGUAGCAUAAUAAUUAGUCUUUUAAUUGAAGGCUUGUAUGAAUGGUUGGACGAAGUAUAAUCUGUUUCAUUUAAAUUUAUUAUAGAAUUUUAUAUUUUAGUAAAAAAGCUAAAAUUUUUUUAAAAGACGAGAAGACCCUAUAAAUCUUUAUAAUCUGAUAUUUAUUUUUUUUUUUGAUUAAUUUUAAUUUUAAUAAUUUAGAUUAUUUUAUUGGGGUGAUAUUAAAAUUUAAAUAACUUUUAAUUUUUUUUUAAAACAUUAAUUUAUGAUUUAUUGAUCCAUUAAUAAUGAUUAUAAGAAUAAGUUACUUUAGGGAUAACAGCGUAAUUUUUUUGGAGAGUUCUUAUUGAUAAAAAAGUUUGCGACCUCGAUGUUGGAUUAAGAUAUAAUUUUAGGUGUAGUUGCUUAAAUAAUAAGUCUGUUCGACUUUUAAAUUCUUACAUGAUCUGAGUUCAAACCGGA
RNAcentral lists this ribosomal RNA (548 nucleotides) under Tephritis tatarica. Its description in RNAcentral is "partial large subunit ribosomal RNA". The stretch from base 401 to 548 matches the Rfam family "Bacterial large subunit ribosomal RNA", at positions 2473 to 2620 of the family's 2925-position model. Lineage: Eukaryota; Metazoa; Arthropoda; Insecta; Diptera; Tephritidae. The record is from RNAcentral.